RNAcentral lists this ribosomal RNA (757 nucleotides) under bacterium 22C4. RNAcentral describes it as "bacterial SSU rRNA". It matches the Rfam family "Bacterial small subunit ribosomal RNA", at positions 73 to 815 of the family's 1533-position model. The record is from RNAcentral.
AGGGAGCUUGCUCCCGGAUGUUAGCGGCGGACGGGUGAGUAACACGUGGGUAACCUGCCUGUAAGACUGGGAUAACUCCGGGAAACCGGAGCUAAUACCGGAUAGUUCCUUGAACCGCAUGGUUCAAGGAUGAAAGACGGUUUCGGCUGUCACUUACAGAUGGACCCGCGGCGCAUUAGCUAGUUGGUGGGGUAAUGGCUCACCAAGGCGACGAUGCGUAGCCGACCUGAGAGGGUGAUCGGCCACACUGGGACUGAGACACGGCCCAGACUCCUACGGGAGGCAGCAGUAGGGAAUCUUCCGCAAUGGACGAAAGUCUGACGGAGCAACGCCGCGUGAGUGAUGAAGGUUUUCGGAUCGUAAAGCUCUGUUGUUAGGGAAGAACAAGUGCGAGAGUAACUGCUCGCACCUUGACGGUACCUAACCAGAAAGCCACGGCUAACUACGUGCCAGCAGCCGCGGUAAUACGUAGGUGGCAAGCGUUGUCCGGAAUUAUUGGGCGUAAAGGGCUCGCAGGCGGUUUCUUAAGUCUGAUGUGAAAGCCCCCGGCUCAACCGGGGAGGGUCAUUGGAAACUGGGAAACUUGAGUGCAGAAGAGGAGAGUGGAAUUCCACGUGUAGCGGUGAAAUGCGUAGAGAUGUGGAGGAACACCAGUGGCGAAGGCGACUCUCUGGUCUGUAACUGACGCUGAGGAGCGAAAGCGUGGGGAGCGAACAGGAUUAGAUACCCUGGUAGUCCACGCCGUAAACGAUGAGUG